CUACGGGGCGCAGCAGUGAGGAAUAUUGCGCAAUGGGGGGAACCCUGAUGCAGCAACGCCGCGUGGAGAAUGACGCAUUUCGGUGUGUAAACUCCUUUUAUAUGUCAAGAAAAUGACGGUAGCAUAUGAAUAAGCACCGGCUAACUUCGUGCCAGCAGCCGCGGUAAUACGGAGGGUGCAAGCGUUACUCGGAAUCACUGGGCGUAAAGGACGCGUAGGCGGGUUGGAAAGUCAGGUGUGAAAUCCUACAGCUUAACUGUAGAACUGCACUUGAAACUUCUAAUCUAGAGUAUGGGAGGGGGAGAUGGAAUUAGUGGUGUAGGGGUAAAAUCCGUAGAUAUCACUAGGAAUACCUAAAGCGAAGGCGAUCUCCUGGAACAUUACUGACGCUAAGGCGUGAAAGCGUGGGGAGCAAACAGGAUUAGAUACCCUAGUAGUC
RNAcentral lists this ribosomal RNA (439 nucleotides) under uncultured bacterium. RNAcentral describes it as "partial 16S ribosomal RNA". It matches the Rfam family "Bacterial small subunit ribosomal RNA", at positions 339 to 795 of the family's 1533-position model. The record is from RNAcentral.